GAGAUCAGAGCAGCUCCACGCCCGCUGCCCUCCUCCGACUGCAGGAAGGUUAUCUCAGAAUGAGGGUAUGAAGGUUGGGAGACUGAGGAUGACCGGAUAAGGAAGGAGACAUCAAGGCUGAGACUGAACUCAGCAGCCAGCAUUAAAGCUGGUGUCCAGGGUUGAUUGAGGUCUCGUCCACCACUCUGUCGUACUCCAGCCUGAACUCCUCCAGCUCGCCUGAGUCUCCAAAUGCU
Poecilia reticulata (guppy) is the source of this 236-nucleotide non-coding RNA. Lineage: Eukaryota; Metazoa; Chordata; Actinopteri; Cyprinodontiformes; Poeciliidae. The record is from RefSeq and is a predicted model, not a curated record.